Molecule: ribosomal RNA, 1462 nt
Filed under: uncultured Bordetella sp.
Lineage: Bacteria; Pseudomonadati; Pseudomonadota; Betaproteobacteria; Burkholderiales; Alcaligenaceae
Description: partial 16S-23S ribosomal RNA intergenic spacer
Rfam family: Bacterial small subunit ribosomal RNA
Source: RNAcentral
AGUUUGAUCCUGGCUCAGAUUGAACGCUGGCGGAUGCUUUGCACACAUGCAAGUCGAACGGCAGCACGGACUUCGGUCUGGUGGCGAGUGGCAGGGGUGAGCAAUGCAUCGUGGAACGUGCCUAGUAGCGGGGAUAACUACGCGAAAGGUAGCUAAUACCGCACACGGCCCUUCGGGGGAAAGCGGGGGGACCUUCGGGCCCUGCACUAGAGCGGCUGAUAUCGGAUUAGCUAGUUGGUGGGGUAACGGCUCUCACUACAGGACAUCCGUAGCUGGUUUGAGAGGACGACCAGCCACACUGGGACUGAGACACGGCCCAGACUCCUACGGGAGGCAGCAGGGGGAAUUUUGGACAAUGGGGGAAACCCUGAUCCAGCCAUCCGUGUGCGAUGAAGGCCUUCGGGUUGUAAAGCACUUUUGGCAGGAAGAAACGGCACGGGAUAAUACCCUGUGCAACUGACGGUACCUGCAGAAUAAGCACCGGCUAACUACGUGCCAGCAGCCGCGGAACACAGGGUGCAAGCGUUAAUCGGACCAUUGGGCGUAAAGCGUGCGCAGGCGGUUCGGAAAGAAAGAUGUGAAAUCCCAGAGCUUAACUUUGAACUGCAUUUUAACUACCGAGCUAGAGUGUGUCAGAGGGAGUGUGGAAUUCCGCGUAGCAGUGAAAUGCGUAGAUAUGCGGAGGAACACCGAUGGCGAAGGCAGCCUCCUGGGAUAACACUGACGCUCGCACGAAAGUGAUAAACAGGAUUAGAUACCCUGGUAGUCCACGCCCUAAACGAUGUCAACUAGCUGUUGGGGCCUUCGGGCCUUGGUAGCGCAGUUAACGCGUGAAGUUGACCGCCCGGGGAGUACGGUCGCAAGAUUAAAACCGUGUUGAAUGACGGGACCCGCACAAGCGGUGGACGAUGUGGAUUAAUUCGAUGCAACGCGAAAAACCUUACCUACCCUUGACAUGUCUGGAAUCCCGAAGAGAUUUUGGGGGAGUGCUCGCAAGAGGAACCGGAACACAGGUGCUGCAUGGCUGCCGUCAGCUCGUGUCGUGAGAUGUUGGGUUAAGUCCUGCAACGAGCGGCAACCUUGUCAUUAGUUGCUACGAAAGGCACUCUAAUGAGACUGCCGGUGACAAAAACUGGAGGAAGGUGGGAUGACGUCGCGCCCUUAUAUCUUUAUAGGCUUCACACGUCAUACAAUGGUCGGGGACAGAGGGUCGCUAACCCGCGAGGGGGAGCUAAUCCCAGAAACCCGAUCGGGGAACUGGAUCGCAGUCUGCAACUCGACUGCGUGAAGUCGGAAUCGCUAGUAAUCGCGGAUCAGCAUGUCGCGGUGAAUACGUUCCCAAGUCUGAAGACACUGCCCGUCACACCAUGGGAGUGGCUUUACCAGAAGUAGUUAGCCUAACCGCAAGGAGGGCGAUUACCACGGUAGGAUUCAUGACUGGGGUGAAGUCGUAACAAGGUAA